UACAGAGGUCCCAAGCGUUGUUCGGAUUCACUGGGCGUAAAGGGUGCGUAGGUGGUGAGGUAAGUCGGAUGUGAAAGCUCGGAGCUCAACUCCGAAAUGGCAUUGGAAACUACCUUGCUCGAGGGUUGGAGGGGGGACUGGAAUACUUGGUGUAGCAGUGAAAUGCGUAGAUAUCAAGUGGAACACCAGUGGCGAAGGCGGCUUCCUGGUCUGUAACUGACACUGAGGCGCGAAAGCGUGGGGAGCAAACAGG
RNAcentral lists this ribosomal RNA (253 nucleotides) under uncultured bacterium. RNAcentral describes it as "partial 16S ribosomal RNA". It matches the Rfam family "Bacterial small subunit ribosomal RNA", at positions 524 to 776 of the family's 1533-position model. The record is from RNAcentral.